UUAAGUUAUUAAGGGCGCACGGUGGAUGCCUUGGCACUAGAAGCCAAUGAAGGACGUUACUAACGACGAUAUGCUUUGGGGAGCUGUAAGUAAGCUUUGAUCCAGAGAUUUCCGAAUGGGGAAACCCAGCAUGAGUUAUGUCAUGUUAUCGAUAUGUGAAUACAUAGCAUAUCAGAAGGCACACCCGGAGAACUGAAACAUCUUAGUACCCGGAGGAAGAGAAAGAAAAUUCGAUUCCCUUAGUAGCGGCGAGCGAAACGGGAAGAGCCCAAACCAACAAGCUUGCUUGUUGGGGUUGUAGGACACUCUAUACGGAGUUACAAAGGACGACAUUAGACGAAUCAUCUGGAAAGAUGAAUCAAAGAAGGUAAUAAUCCUGUAGUCGAAAAUGUUGUCUCUCUUGAGUGGAUCCUGAGUACGACGGAGCACGUGAAAUUCCGUCGGAAUCUGGGAGGACCAUCUCCUAAGGCUAAAUACUCUCUAGUGACCGAUAGUGAACCAGUACCGUGAGGGAAAGGUGAAAAGCACCCCGGAAGGGGAGUGAAAUAGAACCUGAAACCGUGUGCUUACAAGUAGUCAGAGCCCGUUAAUGGGUGAUGGCGUGCCUUUUGUAGAAUGAACCGGCGAGUUACGAUUUGAUGCAAGGUUAAGCAGUAAAUGUGGAGCCGUAGCGAAAGCGAGUCUGAAUAGGGCGUUUAGUAUUUGGUCGUAGACCCGAAACCAGGUGAUCUACCCUUGGUCAGGUUGAAGUUCAGGUAACACUGAAUGGAGGACCGAACCGACUUACGUUGAAAAGUGAGCGGAUGAACUGAGGGUAGCGGAGAAAUUCCAAUCGAACCUGGAGAUAGCUGGUUCUCUCCGAAAUAGCUUUAGGGCUAGCCUCAAGUGAUGAUUAUUGGAGGUAGAGCACUGUUUGGACGAGGGGCCCCUCUCGGGUUACCGAAUUCAGACAAACUCCGAAUGCCAAUUAAUUUAACUUGGGAGUCAGAACAUGGGUGAUAAGGUCCGUGUUCGAAAGGGAAACAGCCCAGACCACCAGCUAAGGUCCCAAAAUAUAUGUUAAGUGGAAAAGGAUGUGGCGUUGCCCAGACAACUAGGAUGUUGGCUUAGAAGCAGCCAUCAUUUAAAGAGUGCGUAAUAGCUCACUAGUCGAGUGACACUGCGCCGAAAAUGUACCGGGGCUAAACAUAUUACCGAAGCUGUGGAUUGUCCUUUGGACAAUGGUAGGAGAGCGUUCUAAGGGCGUUGAAGCAUGAUCGUAAGGACAUGUGGAGCGCUUAGAAGUGAGAAUGCCGGUGUGAGUAGCGAAAGACGGGUGAGAAUCCCGUCCACCGAUUGACUAAGGUUUUCAGAGGAAGGCUCGUCCGCUCUGGGUUAGUCGGGUCCUAAGCUGAGGCCGACAGGCGUAGGCGAUGGAUAACAGGUUGAUAUUCCUGUACCACCUAUAAUCGUUUUAAUCGAUGGGGGGACGCAGUAGGAUAGGCGAAGCGUGCGAUUGGAUUGCACGUCUAAGCAGUAAGGCUGAGUAUUAGGCAAAUCCGGUACUCGUUAAGGCUGAGCUGUGAUGGGGAGAAGACAUUGUGUCUUCGAGUCGUUGAUUUCACACUGCCGAGAAAAGCCUCUAGAUAGAAAAUAGGUGCCCGUACCGCAAACCGACACAGGUAGUCAAGAUGAGAAUUCUAAGGUGAGCGAGCGAACUCUCGUUAAGGAACUCGGCAAAAUGACCCCGUAACUUCGGGAGAAGGGGUGCUCUUUAGGGUUAACGCCCAGAAGAGCCGCAGUGAAUAGGCCCAAGCGACUGUUUAUCAAAAACACAGGUCUCUGCUAAACCGUAAGGUGAUGUAUAGGGGCUGACGCCUGCCCGGUGCUGGAAGGUUAAGAGGAGUGGUUAGCUUCUGCGAAGCUACGAAUCGAAGCCCCAGUAAACGGCGGCCGUAACUAUAACGGUCCUAAGGUAGCGAAAUUCCUUGUCGGGUAAGUUCCGACCCGCACGAAAGGCGUAACGAUUUGGGCACUGUCUCAACGAGAGACUCGGUGAAAUCAUAGUACCUGUGAAGAUGCAGGUUACCCGCGACAGGACGGAAAGACCCCGUGGAGCUUUACUGUAGCCUGAUAUUGAAAUUCGGCACAGCUUGUACAGGAUAGGUAGGAGCCUUUGAAACGUGAGCGCUAGCUUACGUGGAGGCGCUGGUGGGAUACUACCCUAGCUGUGUUGGCUUUCUAACCCGCACCACUUAUCGUGGUGGGAGACAGUGUCAGGCGGGCAGUUUGACUGGGGCGGUCGCCUCCUAAAAGGUAACGGAGGCGCUCAAAGGUUCCCUCAGAAUGGUUGGAAAUCAUUCAUAGAGUGUAAAGGCAUAAGGGAGCUUGACUGCGAGACCUACAAGUCGAGCAGGGUCGAAAGACGGACUUAGUGAUCCGGUGGUUCCGCAUGGAAGGGCCAUCGCUCAACGGAUAAAAGCUACCCCGGGGAUAACAGGCUUAUCUCCCCCAAGAGUUCACAUCGACGGGGAGGUUUGGCACCUCGAUGUCGGCUCAUCGCAUCCUGGGGCUGUAGUCGGUCCCAAGGGUUGGGCUGUUCGCCCAUUAAAGCGGUACGCGAGCUGGGUUCAGAACGUCGUGAGACAGUUCGGUCCCUAUCCGUCGUGGGCGUAGGAAAUUUGAGAGGAGCUGUCCUUAGUACGAGAGGACCGGGAUGGACAUACCUCUGGUGUACCAGUUGUCGUGCCAACGGCAUAGCUGGGUAGCUAUGUGUGGACGGGAUAAGUGCUGAAAGCAUCUAAGCAUGAAGCCCCCCUCAAGAUGAGAUUUCCCAACUUCGGUUAUAAGAUCCCUCAAAGAUGAUGAGGUUAAUAGGUUCGAGGUGGAAGCAUGGUGACAUGUGGAGCUGACGAAUACUAAUCGAUCGAAGACUUAAUCAA
This 2921-nucleotide ribosomal RNA is filed under the name Staphylococcus aureus. RNAcentral describes it as "bacterial LSU rRNA". It matches the Rfam family "Bacterial large subunit ribosomal RNA". The record is from RNAcentral. Lineage: Bacteria; Bacillati; Bacillota; Bacilli; Caryophanales; Staphylococcaceae.